RNAcentral lists this ribosomal RNA (200 nucleotides) under Prymnesium parvum. RNAcentral describes it as "partial Bacterial large subunit ribosomal RNA". It matches the Rfam family "Bacterial large subunit ribosomal RNA", at positions 1568 to 1765 of the family's 2925-position model. The record is from RNAcentral. Lineage: Eukaryota; Haptophyta; Prymnesiales; Prymnesiaceae.
GCAAGCUGUACUUGUACAGCGAAGUGGUUGAUGCCAUGCUUCCAGGAAAAGCCUCUAAGCUUCAGGUAACUAGGAACCGUACCCCAAACCGACACAGGUGGUUGGGUAGAGAAUACCAAGGCGCUUGAGAGAACUCGGGUGAAGGAACUAGGCAAAAUGGUGCCGUAACUUCGGGAGAAGGCACGCUGAUAUGUAGGUGA